This 423-nucleotide ribosomal RNA is filed under the name Vibrio parahaemolyticus. RNAcentral describes it as "bacterial SSU rRNA". It matches the Rfam family "Bacterial small subunit ribosomal RNA", at positions 133 to 551 of the family's 1533-position model. Lineage: Bacteria; Pseudomonadati; Pseudomonadota; Gammaproteobacteria; Vibrionales; Vibrionaceae. The record is from RNAcentral.
GAUGUGGGGGAUAACCAUUGGAAACGAUGGCUAAUACCGCAUGAUGCCUACGGGCCAAAGAGGGGGACCUUCGGGCCUCUCGCGUCAGGAUAUGCCUAGGUGGGAUUAGCUAGUUGGUGAGGUAAGGGCUCACCAAGGCGACGAUCCCUAGCUGGUCUGAGAGGAUGAUCAGCCACACUGGAACUGAGACACGGUCCAGACUCCUACGGGAGGCAGCAGUGGGGAAUAUUGCACAAUGGGCGCAAGCCUGAUGCAGCCAUGCCGCGUGUGUGAAGAAGGCCUUCGGGUUGUAAAGCACUUUCAGUCGUGAGGAAGGUAGUGUAGUUAAUAGCUGCAUUAUUUGACGUUAGCGACAGAAGAAGCACCGGCUAACUCCGUGCCAGCAGCCGCGGUAAUACGGAGGGUGCGAGCGUUAAUCGGAAU